RNAcentral lists this long non-coding RNA (230 nucleotides) under Elaeis guineensis (African oil palm). Its description in RNAcentral is "long non-coding RNA (EGUI_LNC041977)". The record is from RNAcentral. Lineage: Eukaryota; Viridiplantae; Streptophyta; Magnoliopsida; Arecales; Arecaceae.
AAGAACCUAUUGGCGUAUGGUUACCGUAUAAUUCAUUUCUUUGAUCCGAAUGCUCAAGGAUGACCUAGAAUUUAACUGUCAAUCCUAGAUAAGUCAUCCAUAUUGUAUUUCAAUCUUUUUCAAAUCCAUCAUAUAGAUUAUCUGGAUCCAGAUUUUGCUAAAUUGAAAUACACUGAUAUAUAUCUCCUACUAAUUUGGAGGGGUAAAUCCUAUCUUGACUCAUGCACCAA